CGUCUAUAUACGUAUAGCAUAUCAAUAAGCGGAGGAAAAGAAACUAACUAGGAUUCCCUUAGUAACGGCGAGUGAAGCGGGAAGAGCUCAAAUUUGAAAUCUUCAAGGUUUCUACCUUGACGAAUUGUAGUUUAAAGAAGUGUUUUCUGUUGGAGUUUUGGUAAAAGUUCUUUGGAAUAGGACAUCAUAGAGGGUGAGAAUCCCGUAUUUGACCAUUAUUUCCAGCUUUGUGAUACACUUUCAAAGAGUCGGAUUGUUUGGGAAUGCAGUCCAAAAUGGGUGGUAAAUUUCAUCUAAAGCUAAAUAUUGGCGAGAGACCGAUAGCGAACAAGUACCGUGAGGGAAAGAUGAAAAGAACUUUGAAAAGAGAGUUAAACAGUACGUGAAAUUGUCAAAAGGGAAGCGUUUGACACCAGUGUUGUUUUCUCGAAGAUCAAUUAAAAUAGUCUUAAUUUUGUAGUUGCAUUGACUUUAUCAGCUUGCUGCUCUCUUUCUUGGAAUUAUUGAAUGCACUUUUCGUUUAACAAGUCAACAUCAAUUUCUUUUGUUGUAAAAGAGUCAGAUGGAAGGUGGCUUUACGUUUCGGAGAAAGUGUUUAUAGCCUUUGGCCUCUGCAAUCGGAGAGAUUGAGGUCUGCAGCGUAGAUCCUUCGGGGUUAGAUACAUUUGUGCUAAGUUAUAGCCUUUCAUAGACAACUUGUUGACUAUGAUCAGUCAUGUAGCUUACUCGCUUAUGCUAUUUUACCUACGCUUAGGAUGUUGAUGUGAUACUGCGAGCA
Molecule: ribosomal RNA, 778 nt
Filed under: uncultured Neocallimastigales
Lineage: Eukaryota; Fungi; Neocallimastigomycota; Neocallimastigomycetes; Neocallimastigales
Description: partial large subunit ribosomal RNA
Rfam family: Eukaryotic large subunit ribosomal RNA
Source: RNAcentral